GAUGAAGAACGCAGCGAAAUGCGAUAAGUAAUGUGAAUUGCAGAAUUCAGUGAAUCAUCGAAUCUUUGAACGCACAUUGCGCCCUCUGGUAUUCCGGGGGGCAUGCCUGUUCGAGCGUCAUUAUAACCACUCAAGCUCUCGCUUGGUAUUGGGGUUCGCGGUUUCGCGGCCCCUGAAAUCAGUGGCGGUGCCUGUCGGCUCUACGCGUAGUAAUACUUCUCGCGAUUGAGUUCGAUAGGUCUACUUGCCAGUAACCCCCAAUUUUUACAGGUUGACCUCGGAUCAGGUAGGGAUACCCGCUGAACUUAAGCAUAUCAAUAAGCGGAGGA
RNAcentral lists this unclassified non-coding RNA (329 nucleotides) under soil metagenome. RNAcentral's name for it is "partial contains 5.8S ribosomal RNA, internal transcribed spacer 2, and large subunit ribosomal RNA". The stretch from base 1 to 120 matches the Rfam family "5.8S ribosomal RNA", at positions 35 to 154 of the family's 154-position model. The record is from RNAcentral.